CUGCUCCACUCUCUGCAACAGAUUUCAAGCAGCUCCACCACUCUCUGGCAAGUCAUGACAACGGACACCACUUCACUCUCUGCAGCAAGCUCCAUAUGGCCCUAGGCGACCUCUGACGCCACUACUCUUCGUAACAAACUCCGCACGUCUCUGAACGGCCCACUACCAGGCGGUUACAAAUGUCGCUAUCAAUCUGUUACGCCCUCCACCUAUAAAAAGGGGACCCC
Molecule: long non-coding RNA, 227 nt
Filed under: Elaeis guineensis (African oil palm)
Lineage: Eukaryota; Viridiplantae; Streptophyta; Magnoliopsida; Arecales; Arecaceae
Description: long non-coding RNA (EGUI_LNC014645)
Source: RNAcentral